This 89-nucleotide transfer RNA is filed under the name Nitrospinae bacterium RIFCSPLOWO2_12_39_16. RNAcentral describes it as "tRNA-Leu". It matches the Rfam family "tRNA". Rfam says of the family: Transfer RNA (tRNA) molecules are approximately 80 nucleotides in length. Their secondary structure includes four short double-helical elements and three loops (D, anti-codon, and T loops). RNAcentral also lists the same sequence under 1 other name. Lineage: Bacteria; Pseudomonadati; Nitrospinota. The record is from RNAcentral.
GCCGGGGUGGCGGAAUAGGUAGACGCAAGGGACUUAAAAUCCCUCGGCGGGAAACUGCCGUGCCGGUUCGAUUCCGGCCCUCGGCACCA